This 98-nucleotide signal recognition particle RNA is filed under the name Gammaproteobacteria bacterium. RNAcentral's name for it is "signal recognition particle sRNA small type". It matches the Rfam family "Bacterial small signal recognition particle RNA". Rfam says of the family: The signal recognition particle (SRP) is a universally conserved ribonucleoprotein involved in the co-translational targeting of proteins to membranes. Archaeal SRP consists of a 7S RNA and homologues of the eukaryotic SRP19 and SRP54 proteins. Lineage: Bacteria; Pseudomonadati; Pseudomonadota; Gammaproteobacteria. The record is from RNAcentral.
AGUCAGCCUCCGCGGUGACAACAGGUUGUGAACCCGGUCAGGUCCGGAAGGAAGCAGCCGCAGCAACUGCGUUGGGUAUCGCGGUGAGGCUGGCUGGA